This 423-nucleotide ribosomal RNA is filed under the name uncultured bacterium. Its description in RNAcentral is "bacterial SSU rRNA". It matches the Rfam family "Bacterial small subunit ribosomal RNA", at positions 207 to 622 of the family's 1533-position model. The record is from RNAcentral.
AAGACCUUGCACUUUUGGAGCGGCCGAUGUCUGAUUAGCUAGUUGGUGGGGUAAUGGCCUACCAAAGCUUCGAUCAGUAGCUGGUCUGAGAGGACGGCCAGCCACACUGGGACUGAGACACGGCCCAGACUCCUACGGGAGGCAGCAGUGGGGAAUUUUGGACAAUGGGCGCAAGCCUGAUCCAGCCAUGCCGCGUGAGUGAAGAAGGCCUUCGGGUUGUAAAGCUCUUUCAGCCGAGAAGAAAAGGUUGCGGCUAAUAAUCGCAAUCCAUGACGGUACCGAAAGAAGAAACACCGGCUAACUACGUGCCAGCAGCCGCGGUAAUACGUAGGGUGCGAGCGUUAAUCGGAAUUACUGGGCGUAAAGGGUGCGCAGGCGGUUUUGUAAGUCAGAUGUGAAAUCCCCGGGCUUAACCUGGGAACU